AUGGCUUCUCCAAAAGGGAUUUUAUUAGAUCAGCGCGUGGUCGCCAUACAGAAGUCCAAAAUGGUCGAUCAAAUAGAGAUUGAUCAAUUCUUCAACGAGCUUGCCAUUAUGUCGCAAAUCAAUCAUCGAAAUGUGGUAAAACUUUUUGGAUGUUGUCUCGAGUUAGAGGUGCCUUUGCCUGUUUAUGAGUUCGUAUCCAAUGGCACGUUGUCUGAAAUCCUCCAUGGUGACGAUAUCAGUUCUAGGAUCUCGUUAACAUGGGACGAUCGUAUUAGAAUUGCUAGCGAGGCUUCAAGUUCUCUUGCUUACCUUCAUUCUGCUGCUUCCAUACCAAUCUUUCACAGAGACGUGAAAUCUGCCAAUAUACUCUUGACUGAUAACUUCAGUGUAAAGGUUGCAGACUUCUGA
This 408-nucleotide ribosomal RNA is filed under the name Triticum aestivum (bread wheat). RNAcentral's name for it is "partial small subunit ribosomal RNA". The record is from RNAcentral. Lineage: Eukaryota; Viridiplantae; Streptophyta; Magnoliopsida; Poales; Poaceae.